AUUGUCUCCUAAAGGAUAGGAAUCUAAAGCCUGGAGACGUCAUUGAAAUCUUCAGAGAUGGAUAUCAGCACUGGGUGAUCUAUGUUUGAGAUGGAUAUGUGAUUCACGUGGUCACAGCCUCUGGACACGGCGACUCUGGGUCCAGCAGUAAGCCAAGGAAAGAUAACAAGGU
Long non-coding RNA from Cyprinus carpio (common carp), 172 nucleotides. RefSeq lists it as uncharacterized. Lineage: Eukaryota; Metazoa; Chordata; Actinopteri; Cypriniformes; Cyprinidae. The transcript has 2 exons. The record is from RefSeq and is a predicted model, not a curated record.